GAUGAACGCUGGCGGCGUGCUUAACACAUGCAAGUCGAACGGGAAACCUUUUAAUGAAGCUUCGGCAGAUUUAGCUGGUUUCUAGUGGCGGACGGGUGAGUAACGCGUGGGUAACCUGCCUUAUGCAGGGGGAUAACAGUCAGAAAUGACUGCUAAUACCGCAUAAGCGCACAGGACCGCAUGGUCCGGUGUGAAAAACUCCGGUGGUAUAAGAUGGACCCGCGUUGGAUUAGCUUGUUGGUGGGGUAACGGCUCACCAAGGCGACGAUCCAUAGCCGGCCUGAGAGGGUGAACGGCCACAUUGGGACUGAGACACGGCCCAGACUCCUACGGGAGGCAGCAGUGGGGAAUAUUGCACAAUGGGGGAAACCCUGAUGCAGCGACGCCGCGUGAAGGAAGAAGUAUCUCGGUAUGUAAACUUCUAUCAGCAGGGAAGAUAGUGACGGUACCUGACUAAGAAGCCCCGGCUAACUACGUG
Molecule: ribosomal RNA, 478 nt
Filed under: uncultured bacterium
Lineage: Bacteria
Description: partial 16S ribosomal RNA
Rfam family: Bacterial small subunit ribosomal RNA
Source: RNAcentral